Molecule: ribosomal RNA, 253 nt
Filed under: uncultured bacterium
Lineage: Bacteria
Description: partial 16S ribosomal RNA
Rfam family: Bacterial small subunit ribosomal RNA
Source: RNAcentral
UACGUAGGGGGCUAGCGUUGUCCGGAAUCAUUGGGCGUAAAGAGCGUGUAGGCGGUCCGGUAAGUCCGCUGUGAAAGUCGGGGGCUCAACCCUCGAAUGCCGGUGGAUACUGUCGGGCUAGAGUGCGGAAGAGGCGAGUGGAAUUCCUGGUGUAGCGGUGGAAUGCGCAGAUAUCAGGAGGAACACCGGUGGCGAAGGCGGGACUCUGGGCCGAUACUGACGCUGAGGAGCGAAAGCGUGGGGAGCGAACAGG